Non-coding RNA from Nelumbo nucifera (sacred lotus), 1860 nucleotides. NCBI's taxonomy places the organism in Eukaryota, Viridiplantae, Streptophyta, Magnoliopsida, Proteales, Nelumbonaceae. The record is from RefSeq and is a predicted model, not a curated record.
CUUCGUCUGUAACAAUCAAUAUAUAUAUAUGAAAUGAUGAUUCGUGGAUGGCCUGAGCGUAGAGUAAAUGGAAUCUACACGAGUGGAGAAUAAAGUCAGCAUGCGAAAACAUUCCUAAUUUACGCAUGUGCGACUCUCCCACCCCAUUUCUCUCUUUCCUCUUCUACCCCGCUCUCAGGUUCGCUCCCCCUUUCUCUUGCCCGCUUCUCUCUCUUUCUCUCUCUUCACACUCUUCCUCUGUUCUCUACCUACUUCUCUCUCUCUCUUCACACUUCCUCUCUCUCUCUCUCUCUCUCUCUAUUCCUUCUUUCUCACAUGUGUUUCUUUGUGAAUGGGUAAGUUCUCUAGUGGCCAAAGUUUUCUCUCUCGCCUCUGCUCAUGCAAUACAAUUUUCUGCAAUACGGCACUUAGGGUUCUUGACAAGGGCUUGAUCAUGGAUUUGGACACGGCUAUGGAUAAGAUUAUGAUGAAGUGCAGCAAAAGAUGACGGGGAAAAAAGGACCUUGUUUUAUGUUGAAAGGGUCCAAAGGAGGGGGGGGGGGGUGAGGUCCGUUCACCUUUCUCUGUCCUCCGUUCAAUUUUCACCUGCUUAAUAUCAGUUUUAAUUCAUUUUAAUUAAUGCUUUAUUAUUGUUGGAAAUACCUAGUUUCCUUUUUAUGAUUAAAGUUUUUUUUUUUUUUGAAACGUAUUCUAACUUAUAAGUUCUUGACCCUCUAGCGAAUUUAUGAUAGGUGAAUGAAACCGUCUUCUCUCUAAAUGAAAAAGGGAGAUGAAUUCUUUCAUGAAAUCACGGUGAAGAAAAGCCCCUAGCGUACAGAAGACUUUCUAUUUGCUUAAGAUUAGCGGAGAAAUCCCGUAUUCUCUAGCGGAAUUGCCGAUGUUGACCUACCUGGAUUUCUCCGAUAUAAUCUCACUGAACCAAUUCCACAAGAGCUACAGAACCUAAAGCUUGCCCUUUUCAAUGUUUCCUUCAAUAAGCUCUCAGGUAGGGUCCCAUACUUUCUAAUAUCUGGUCUUCUAGCUUCGUUCCUUCAGGGAAAUCUAGACCUUUGUGGAUUUGGAUUUUACCCAAUUCUUGCUCAGAAGAGGGGCCAGACAAAUUGACAUUUGUGCUGAUAUCCAUUGCUUUUGCUGUCUCUCUUGUGGUUGUUGUUGGCUUCUUUGUAAUGUACCGUUCCUCCAAGAAGAAAUCUCAUCUGGGAAUGGACGAGAAAGGUCUGUUGAUAUCCAUUACUGAACAGGACUUGAUAAUGGGAAUGGACGAGAAAGGUGCAAUAUGUAAUGGUGGAGCUGUUAAGAAGUUAAAGAGUGUAAGAGGUCAAUCUUCGAAAACUUUGAAGGCUGAGAUCAAGACUUUAGCAAAGAUCAGGCAUAAGAAUAUCACAAAGCUUUUGGGUUUUUUUCUAUUAUGAUGAUUCACUUCUCUUGGUAUAUGAAUUUAUACAAAGAGGGAGUUUAGGAAAUUUGAUAUGUAGAUCAGACUUUCAAUUAAAAUGGAGUAUUAGAUUGAAGAUUGUUGUAGGAGCUGCCCAAGGACUGGUUUGCCUUCAUCCACACUUAAUAGGAAUAUCAAAUCAAGGAACAUUCUUCUGGACAUGGACUUUGAAUCAAAACUCAUCGACUUUGCACUUGAUCAAAUUGUUGGUGAGUCUGCUUAUCAGUCAACGGUGGCUUCUGAAGCAGGAUCCUCCUGUUAUAUAGCACCGGGCAUAUAGAUCUCCGAAACCAUUACUGAAUGAUUAAUAUGUUUGAUAUCUGAAUUAACUUAAAGUGAGUGAAUUUGUUGUCAAUUAUUUUCAUUGGAUUACUUAAGCACUUCUAGAGUUGUCAAUAUAUUGGAAAAACUAUAUUGCUUUGUCA